RNAcentral lists this ribosomal RNA (274 nucleotides) under uncultured prokaryote. RNAcentral describes it as "partial 16S ribosomal RNA". It matches the Rfam family "Bacterial small subunit ribosomal RNA", at positions 355 to 633 of the family's 1533-position model. The record is from RNAcentral.
UGAGGAAUUUUGCGCAAUGGGGGGAACCCUGACGCAGCAACGCCGCGUGGGUGAUGAAGGCCUUCGGGUCGUAAAGCCCUGUCGGGCGGGAAGAACGUCCCUUCGGGGAAUGACGGUACCGCCAGAGGAAGCACCGGCUCACUCCGUGCCAGCAGCCGCGGUAAUACGGAGGGUGCAAGCGUUAUUCGGAAUUACUGGGCGUAAAGGGCGUGCAGGCGGGAGAGCAAGUCUGAUGGGAAAGCCCGGGGCUUAACCCCGGAAGGGCAGUGGAAAC